GGCAUCUCCUCCUGGGCAUGUCCUCAGCUGCUUCUCUUGGCCAUAAUUCUCCCUUUUCUUUGUUACCAGAGUUCUCUUCCUCACAGUGCAGAGGAUAACAUCCCUCAUGCUGGAAUCAGUGCUUUUCCUGCAGAGCUGAAGCUCCGUGCAGAAUCCAAGAGCCAGGGUGAUGGUGAAGGACACAUGGCCAGUGACCCCCUCACAGUGCUCGCUCUCAAUUCCAGCACACUUAGCCCACCGUUCUUCCCAUUUUCUGAAGCAGUUCUAGAAGCCCCUCCACAGCGAGCAAGAUUCCAAACACAGUGACUGCUGCUGCCUGGCACCAUGCAGGAGAAAGGCAGCUCGGAAACAACCAAUGCUGCGACUUCACCCUCUGUAUUCGGUGGAUCGGGCUUGGUGUGACUUCUGCUUUUCCUGGAAAUCAGCAUGAGCACGGAAGGAAAACGUUUUGAGUGGACUCAGGACACUGAGGCAGCCACACCGCACAACCAAAGACCCUCACAGAGAGGACUUCCAGAGCCGCCGC
This 526-nucleotide long non-coding RNA is filed under the name Fukomys damarensis (Damara mole-rat). RNAcentral's name for it is "lncRNA (ENSFDAG00000028207.1)". The record is from RNAcentral. Lineage: Eukaryota; Metazoa; Chordata; Mammalia; Rodentia; Bathyergidae.